GAUGAACGCUGGCGGCGUGCCUAAUACAUGCAAGUCGAGCGAACAGACGAGGAGCUUGCUCCUCUGACGUUAGCGGCGGACGGGUGAGUAACACGAGGAUAACCUACCUAUAAGACGGGGAUAACUUCGGGAAACCGGCGAUAAUACCGGAUAAUAUAUUGAACCGCAGGGUUCAAUAGUGAAAGACGGUUUUGCUGUCACUUAUAGAUGGAUCCGCGCCGCAUUGGCUGGUAGGUAAGCUAACGGGUUACGAAGGCGACGAUGCGUAGACGACGUGAGAGGGUGAUAGGCCACCCUGGAGCUGAGACACGGUCCAGACUCCUACGGGAGGCAGCAGUCGGGAAUCUUCCGCAGUGGGCGAAAGCCUGGCGGAGCAACGCCGCGCGAGUGAUGAAGGUCCUCGGAUCGUGAAGCUGUGUUAUUAGGGGAGAACAAAUGUGUAAGUAACUAUGCACGUCUUGACGGUACCUAAUCAGAAAGCCACGGCUAACUACGUG
Molecule: ribosomal RNA, 497 nt
Filed under: uncultured bacterium
Lineage: Bacteria
Description: partial 16S ribosomal RNA
Rfam family: Bacterial small subunit ribosomal RNA
Source: RNAcentral